Molecule: ribosomal RNA, 496 nt
Filed under: uncultured bacterium
Lineage: Bacteria
Description: bacterial SSU rRNA
Rfam family: Bacterial small subunit ribosomal RNA
Source: RNAcentral
GAUCAUGGCUCAGAUUGAACGCUGGCGGCAUGCCUUACACAUGCAAGUCGAACGGCAGCACGGGGCGAACCUGGUGGCGAGUGGCGAACGGGUGAGUAAUGCAUCGGAACGUGCCAUUGAUGGGGGGUAACGUAGCGAAAGUUACGCUAAUACCGCAUAUUCUGUGAGCAGGAAAGCAGGGGAUCGCAAGACCUUGCGCUCUUUGAGCGGCCGAUGUCAGAUUAGCUAGUUGGUGAGGUAACGGCUUACCAAGGCGACGAUCUGUAGCGGGUCUGAGAGGAUGAUCCGCCACACUGGAACUGAGACACGGUCCAGACUCCUACGGGAGGCAGCAGUGGGGAAUUUUUGGACAAUGGGGGCAACCCUGAUCCAGCCAUGCCGCGUGAGUGAAGAAGGCCUUCGGGUUGUAAAGCUCUUUCGGCCGGGAAGAAAUCGCAUGGGUUAAUACCCUGUGUGGAUGACGGUACCGGCAUAAGAAGCACCGGCUAACUACGUG